UACGGAGGGUGCGAGCGUUGUCCGGAAUCACUGGGCGUAAAGGGCGCGUAGGCGGUUGGGGAAGUCCGUGGUGAAAGCUCGUGGCUCAACUACGAGUCGGCCAUGGAUACUCCUUGACCUGAGCACUGUAGAGGCAGAUGGAAUUCCGGGUGUAGCGGUGGAAUGCGUAGAGAUCCGGAAGAACACCAGUGGCGAAGGCGGCCCGCUGGGCAGUGGCUGACGCUGAGGCGCGACAGCGUGGGGAGCAAACAGG
Molecule: ribosomal RNA, 253 nt
Filed under: uncultured bacterium
Lineage: Bacteria
Description: partial 16S ribosomal RNA
Rfam family: Bacterial small subunit ribosomal RNA
Source: RNAcentral